Molecule: long non-coding RNA, 978 nt
Filed under: Anser cygnoides (Swan goose)
Lineage: Eukaryota; Metazoa; Chordata; Aves; Anseriformes; Anatidae
Description: lncRNA (ENSACDG00005002154.1)
Source: RNAcentral
GUUGCCUCGGGAGUACCGAGUUACUGAGGUUCAGACUUUCUUCAGAAAUGCCGAGGGGAGCUGAACAGCAGUUGAAAACGCAGAUAAAGAAAUACAUGGACCGUGCAAACAAAAAUCCUCACAUCAGAACGCAAGGGCAGCCUGAGCUAAACAGCUGGCUGGAUUUGCAUGAAAAUGGACUGCCCUUUUUCAUUUGUUUGUUCUUUGGAAAUUACAGUAGGAAAUCACCACAGGGAAUUUCUCCCACUUAGCUCGGCUCCCAGAGGAGUUGAAGGCUAUUAUGAAAUCGAACUUCCUAGGAGCUCACCAGGGAUAUUUUUAGUCUAUAAUUCAAGCCUUUGCCUGAAGGGCAAGGAGCGUGUCCCAGGCACGAUGCGUGUUCCACAGUCAGUCCCGGUCAUGUGCUACAUCUGCUCCCUGAAGUCAUCUACAACAACACGCUCUCCAACGCUAACAGUUUUCAGGUGGCACAGCAAUAUGUUCUGCACAUGGUCUAAAUCGGGGCUUUUCACACAGCCAUCACAUUUGCUUAGGGAGAAAGUUCCUUUCCAGAGCAGAAACACAGCAUCGUCCCUUCCAGUUCCAUCUGGUAAGAAUAAACUCUGCAGCGGAGUAAAUCUAUUGUCCCUCCAUGUCCAAGCAGAAGUUCCCACCUUAUUGCACCUGAAAACAUGUCUCCUGUAAUGGCCAUCAAACAGAUUUCAAACACGUACAGACGAGCCAGUAAGCGGUGUUUGGAUUCCAUGGUAACUUGAGCAAAGAGUAAAGGAAUUGGACAAAGAGGGAAGAUGAUCUUGCUAGCAAUGGAAAGGAGGGAAAAUAUAUCCCGUAAAGCAGAUGGAGAGAGAUUAUAAAAAUACUAGGCUUGGAUCUGCAUGCACAGCUUUCCAGCCUUGUGGCUCAGUGGUAGAAGGAAAAAUUCAUCUCUUCCUGUAAAUAUUUUUACUCCUCAAAUAAAAUUAUUUCUCAGCAUUAUCA